AUAGGGUCCCAGUGAGUUUAACCAUUUAAGGUGGUUUUCCCAGGGUAAAGUUCACCCAUUGCACUGCGAGUGUGCUGACUUCUGCGAUUUCCCCAAAUUUGGGAAACUAGACUGCAUAAUUUGUGGCAGUGGGGGACUGUGUUUGUGCUUUCCCCUA
Small nuclear RNA from Pelodiscus sinensis (Chinese soft-shelled turtle), 157 nucleotides. Its record names the gene U1. It matches the Rfam family "U1 spliceosomal RNA". From Rfam's summary of the family: U1 is a small nuclear RNA (snRNA) component of the spliceosome (involved in pre-mRNA splicing). Its 5' end forms complementary base pairs with the 5' splice junction, thus defining the 5' donor site of an intron. There are significant differences in sequence and secondary structure between metazoan and yeast U1 snRNAs, the latter being much longer (568 nucleotides as compared to 164 nucleotides in human). The record is from Ensembl. Lineage: Eukaryota; Metazoa; Chordata; Testudines; Trionychidae.